AGUCAACAUGCCCAGAGGACGUGGAUAACCUCGGGAAACUGAGGAUAAACCGCGAUAGGUCAUAAUAUCUGGAAUGAUUUAUGAUUUAAAUCUAUAUGGCCUCUGGAUUGGACUGCGGCCGAUCAGGCUGUUGGUGAGGUAAUGGCCCACCAAACCUGAAACCGGUACGGGCUCUGAGAGGAGAAGCCCGGAGAUGGGCACUGAGACAAGGGCCCAGGCCCUAUGGGGCGCAGCAGGCGCGAAAACUCUGCAAUAAGCGAAAGCUUGACAGGGUUAUUCUGAGUGAUUUCCGCUAAGGAAAUCUUUUGGCACCUCUAAAAAUGGUGCAGAAUAAGGGGUGGGCAAGCCUGGUGUCAGCCGCCGCGGUAAUACCAGCACCCCGAGUGGUCGGGACGAUUAUUGGGCCUAAAGCAUCCGUAGCCGGUUCUACAAGUCUUCCGUUAAAUCCACCUGCUUAACAGAUGGGCUGCGGAGGAUACUAUAGAGCUAGGAGGCGGGAGAGGCAAGCGGUACUUAGUGGGUAGGGGUAAAAUCCGUUGAUCCAUUGAAGACCACCAGUGGCGAAGGCGGCUUGCCAGAACGCACUCGACGGUGAGGGAUGAAAGCUGGGGGAGCAAACCGGAUUAGAUACCCGGGUAGUCCCAGCUGUAAACGAUGCAGACUCGGUGAUGAAUAGGCUUCGUGCCUAUUCAGUGCCGCAGGGAAGCCGUUAAGUCUGCCGCCUGGGGAGUACGGUCGCAAGACUGAAACUUAA
Molecule: ribosomal RNA, 754 nt
Filed under: uncultured archaeon
Lineage: Archaea
Description: bacterial SSU rRNA
Rfam family: Archaeal small subunit ribosomal RNA
Source: RNAcentral